This 292-nucleotide ribosomal RNA is filed under the name uncultured Sphingomonas sp. RNAcentral's name for it is "partial 16S ribosomal RNA". It matches the Rfam family "Bacterial small subunit ribosomal RNA", at positions 505 to 796 of the family's 1533-position model. The record is from RNAcentral. Lineage: Bacteria; Pseudomonadati; Pseudomonadota; Alphaproteobacteria; Sphingomonadales; Sphingomonadaceae.
GUGUCAGCAGCCGCGGUAAUACGGAGGGAGCUAGCGUUAUUCGGAUUUACUGGGCGUAAAGCGCACGUAGGCGGCUUUGUAAGUUAGAGGUGAAGGCCUGGAGCUCAACCCCAGAAUUGCCUUUAAGCCUGCAUCGCUUGAAUCCAGGAGAGGUGAGUGGAAUUCCGAGUGUAGAGGUGAAAUUCGUAGAUAUUCGGAAGAACACCAGUGGCGAAGGCGGCUCACUGGACUGGUAUUGACGCUGAGGUGCGAAAGCGUGGGGAGCAAACAGGAUUAGAUACCCUUGUAGUCC